GUGUGCGAUCAUUCCAGCACUAAUGCACCGGAUCCCAUCAGAACUCCAAAGUUAAAGGUGCUUGGGCGAGAGUAGUGCUGGGCUGGGUGACCUCUUCGGAAGUCCUCAUGUUGCACCCC
Ribosomal RNA from Tripterygium wilfordii, 119 nucleotides. Lineage: Eukaryota; Viridiplantae; Streptophyta; Magnoliopsida; Celastrales; Celastraceae. The record is from RefSeq and is a predicted model, not a curated record.